UACGUAGGGGGCAAGCGUUGUCCGGAUUUAUUGGGCGUAAAGAGCGUGUAGGCGGCCAUACAGGUCCGUUGUGAAAACUGGAGGCUUAACCUCCAGACGUCGAUGGAAACCGUAUGGCUAGAGUCCGGAAGAGGAGAGUGGAAUUCCUGGUGUAGCGGUGAAAUGCGCAGAUAUCAGGAAGAACACCCGUGGCGAAGGCGGCUCUCUGGGACGGUACUGACGCUGAGGAGCGAAAGUGUGGGGAGCGAACAGG
This 253-nucleotide ribosomal RNA is filed under the name uncultured bacterium. RNAcentral's name for it is "partial 16S ribosomal RNA". It matches the Rfam family "Bacterial small subunit ribosomal RNA", at positions 524 to 776 of the family's 1533-position model. The record is from RNAcentral.